UCCCCCCUCCCUCUGACCCUCUCCCCCCUCCCUCUGACCCUCUCCCCCCUCCCUCUGACCCUCUCCCUCUGACCCUCUCCCCUCUCCCUCUGACCCUCUCCCCCCUCCCUCUGACCCUCUCCCUCUGACCCUCUCCCCUCUCCCUCUGACCCUGGACAACGAGAUCGCCACCUACAGGAAGCUACUGGAGGGAGAGGAGAUUAGAAUGAAUGACCACAUACGUUAUCAAGAUUACUAAAACCAAUCGACCAAUCCCAGUUCUUGCUUACACGCAGACAUUGAUUUGCCUUUGAAGACUCUGAAGCCCCUCCCAUUAGAUGCCGGUGGCCCCCCAACCAGCCCCAGGAAGCGUCUGCUGAUCAGAAUUGACGUGAAGGCGGGCAGGGUCAUGUCCAAGAGCUUACACUACUCCGACAAUUAACCAAGCCCACCGUCACUCUGCUGUCGCUAUAGUAACACGGUGUUGUACCACUUUCUCUCUCUCUCUCUUUUCCAUCUAAAAACAUUGCUGAGUCUUUUGUUUUACAUUAAGGUCAUUGUUUAAUAAGCUACGGUGUUAAACUUACACACUUUGUUUUCAACUGCAGUUCGAAGACCAUGUGCGACAGUAACAGGAGCUCUUACAAAAUGUGUCCUGUGCUCUUUUUCAUUACGUUUGUGGUGGGAGAAUUUAUCUGUGCUCUCUUGUGCUCGUGUGACUGGGAAGGCCAUGUCCUCCAAAGCUUGAAUGUCACUGAACCAGGUCCAAAAUAAAAAGACAAAAUAUUAAGGAACCAAAUAUGUGUAUGGUUUGUUUAAGGAGUCUGUCUGUCACCCAAUACAACUCAGCCCUGAACGCAAGGAAUACAUGGGCCUAUUG
Oncorhynchus keta (chum salmon) is the source of this 859-nucleotide long non-coding RNA. RefSeq lists it as uncharacterized. The record is from RefSeq and is a predicted model, not a curated record. Lineage: Eukaryota; Metazoa; Chordata; Actinopteri; Salmoniformes; Salmonidae. The transcript has 3 exons.